AUACGUAGGGGGCGAGCGUUGUCUGGAAUGAUUGGGCGUAAAGGGCGCGUAGGCGGCCUGUUAAGUCUGGAGUGAAAGUCCUGUUUUCAAGAUGGGAAUUGCUUUGGAUACUGAUGGGCUUGAGAGCAGGAGAGGUUAUCGGAAUUCCCGGUGUAGCGGUGAAAUGCGUAGAGAUCGGGAGGAACACCAGUGGCGAAGGCGGGUAACUGGACUGCAACUGACGCUGAGGCGCGAAAGUGUGGGGAGCAAACAGGAUUAGAUACCCUGGUAGUCCACACUGUAAACGAUGAAUGCUAGGUGUAAGAGGUAUCGACCCCUUUUGUGCCGGAGUUAACACAAUAAGCAUUCCGCCUGGGGAGUGCGGCCGCAAGGUUGAAACUCAAAUGAAUUGACGGGG
This 397-nucleotide ribosomal RNA is filed under the name uncultured bacterium. RNAcentral's name for it is "partial 16S ribosomal RNA". It matches the Rfam family "Bacterial small subunit ribosomal RNA", at positions 523 to 918 of the family's 1533-position model. The record is from RNAcentral.